This 589-nucleotide ribosomal RNA is filed under the name Candida albicans. RNAcentral describes it as "LSU rRNA". It matches the Rfam family "Eukaryotic large subunit ribosomal RNA", at positions 53 to 658 of the family's 3401-position model. Lineage: Eukaryota; Fungi; Ascomycota; Pichiomycetes; Serinales; Debaryomycetaceae. The record is from RNAcentral.
GAGGAAAAGAAACCAACAGGGAUUGCCUCAGUAGCGGCGAGUGAGCGGCAAAAGCUCAAAUUUGAAAUCUGGCGUCUUUGGCGUCCGAGUUGUAAUUUGAAGAAGGUAUCUUUGGGCCCGGCUCUUGUCUAUGUUCCUUGGAACAGGACGUCACAGAGGGUGAGAAUCCCGUGCGAUGAGAUGACCCGGGUCUGUGUAAAGUUCCUUCGACGAGUCGAGUUGUUUGGGAAUGCAGCUCUAAGUGGGUGGUAAAUUCCAUCUAAAGCUAAAUAUUGGCGAGAGACCGAUAGCGAACAAGUACAGUGAUGGAAAGAUGAAAAGAACUUUGAAAAGAGAGUGAAAAAGUACGUGAAAUUGUUGAAAGGGAAGGGCUUGAGAUCAGACUUGGUAUUUUGCAUGCUGCUCUCUCGGGGGCGGCCGCUGCGGUUUACCGGGCCAGCAUCGGUUUGGAGCGGCAGGAUAAUGGCGGAGGAAUGUGGCACGGCUUCUGCUGUGUGUUAUAGCCUCUGACGAUACUGCCAGCCUAGACCGAGGACUGCGGUUUUUACCUAGGAUGUUGGCAUAAUGAUCUUAAGUCGCCCGUCUUGAA